RNAcentral lists this ribosomal RNA (254 nucleotides) under uncultured bacterium. Its description in RNAcentral is "partial 16S ribosomal RNA". It matches the Rfam family "Bacterial small subunit ribosomal RNA", at positions 524 to 776 of the family's 1533-position model. The record is from RNAcentral.
UACGUAGGGGGCGAGCGUUGUCCGGAUUUAUUGGGCGUAAAGAGCUCGUAGGCGGCUUAGCAAGUCGGGUGUGAAAACUCCAGGCUCAACCUGGAGACGCCACUCGAGACUGCUAUGGCUAGAGUCCGGUAGGGGACCACGGAAUUCCUGGUGUAGCGGUGAAAUGCGCAGAUAUCAGGAGGAACACCGGUGGCGAAGGCGGGUCUCUGGGCCGAUACUGACGCUGAGGAGCGAAAGCGUGGGGAGCGAACAGG